This 426-nucleotide ribosomal RNA is filed under the name uncultured Chlamydiae bacterium. RNAcentral describes it as "bacterial SSU rRNA". It matches the Rfam family "Bacterial small subunit ribosomal RNA", at positions 958 to 1385 of the family's 1533-position model. Lineage: Bacteria; Pseudomonadati; Chlamydiota; Chlamydiia. The record is from RNAcentral.
AACGCGAAGAACCUUACCCAGGCUUGACAUGCAGUAGACAGCGCCAGAGAUGGCGCCUUCCUUCGGGACUGCUGCACAGGUGCUGCAUGGCUGUCGUCAGCUCGUGCCGUGAGGUGUUGGGUUAAGUCCCGCAACGAGCGCAACCCUUAUCGUUAGUUGCCAACAUUUAAGGUGGGAACUCUAACGAGACUGCCCGGGUUAACCGGGAGGAAGGUGAGGAUGACGUCAAGUCCGCAUGGCCCUUAUGUCUGGGGCUACACACGUGCUACAAUGGUCGGUACAGAAGGCAGCGAAACCGUGAGGCGGAGCAAAUCCCCAAAGCCGACCCCAGUUCAGAUUGUAGUCUGCAACUCGACUACAUGAAGACGGAAUUGCUAGUAAUGGCGAGUCAGCAACAUCGCCGUGAAUACGUUCCCGGGCCUUGUA